RNAcentral lists this ribosomal RNA (253 nucleotides) under uncultured bacterium. RNAcentral's name for it is "partial 16S ribosomal RNA". It matches the Rfam family "Bacterial small subunit ribosomal RNA", at positions 524 to 776 of the family's 1533-position model. The record is from RNAcentral.
UACGGGGGGGGCAAGCGUUGUUCGGAAUUACUGGGCGUAAAGGGCUCGUAGGCGGCCAACUAAGUCAGACGUGAAAUCCCUCGGCUUAACCGGGGAACUGCGUCUGAUACUGGAUGGCUUGAAUCCGGGAGAGGGAUGCGGAAUUCCAGGUGUAGCGGUGAAAUGCGUAGAUAUCGGGAGGAACACCAGUGGCGAAGGCGGCGACCUGGGCCAAUAUUGACGCUGAGGUGCGAAAGCGUGGGGAGCAAACAGG